This 586-nucleotide long non-coding RNA is filed under the name Apteryx rowi (Okarito brown kiwi). RNAcentral's name for it is "lncRNA (ENSARWG00000007180.1)". The record is from RNAcentral. Lineage: Eukaryota; Metazoa; Chordata; Aves; Apterygiformes; Apterygidae.
CAGAGGUCCUCAGGCAGACUGCUGCACAGGGGAACAGUGAAGUCAUAGCCCCCAGGCACUACUGCAUUGUCAGGUGAAUCAAAUUCAAGAGGAUUAAAUAGCACAGUAUGCAAAAUUCUUGCUCCCUCAAUCCCUUCUGAUUUCCGGUUCUCAGGAAAAAUCAGCAGCCAGCUGCUGACAAGACCAGGAUUAGAACUCCCUGACUGGACACAUAGGAGACUUUGCUAUAAAAAUGUGAUGAGGAGAGGAAGUAAUUGCAUAAUCUACAUUUGGCCUGGCAGUCAGCCUUCUGACCUACAAACUUACAUGAUCCACUUCCAAUAAGUCAGGAAGAAAAGACUAUUAAUUUGAGCACAGUGUUAUAUGGAGAUGUAUUUGUACCUUCCAGUGACCAGUGAAAUCGUGGACUUUUGAUACAGAAGAAUUUUUACAUUCUUUCUGAAUAAGACAGUCCCUUUAAAGAAGCAUGCAAGCAUUUUGUCAACAAUGAAAUCCAUCAGGUGAAGGAGCUGUUUUCCCACAGCAYGCAAACAUUUAAACAACUUUAACUGACAUGCUUGUCUCAGCUCGGAUUGGCUCCUCUAUC